AAUAGGAAAUCCUUUCACAGCAUUAAUGUUCAGGUGAACAUAACUUUUUGAUAUUGUCCAUUGACGAACACUCUGCAUUGCCAGUGAUGUGCAUUGAUUGGUGUAAUAUUCCUCAUCUUAUGAUUUCAGAUGGUCUGCAAUGCUGACUGUGUGAUCAGCAAUGUUGUGGCAAAAUGGCCUGGCUCAGUCCAUGACUCCAGAAUCUUUCGGGCCUCUGAAAUCUAUCAGUGCCUAUCACAAGGUGAAUUCUCUGGUGUGUUGCUGGGAGACAGGGGGUAUGGCUGCCAGCCUUUUCUCCUGACACCUUUCACAGACCCCCAGGAAGCACAGCAGGCCUACAACCAUGCCCAUGCCAGGACCAGGGCCAGAGUUGAAAUGACCUUUGGCCUCCUGAAGGCACGCUUUCACUGCCUUCACAAAUUAAGGGUCAGCCCUGUUAGGGCAUGUGAUAUUACUGUGGCUUGUGCUGUCCUCCACAAUGUGGCCUGCCUGAGGAAGGAGAGGGCCCCCAGAGUGCCACCAGCCAUGGACUGGGACAAUCCGGCAAUCUUCCCUGAUGACGACAGUGGUCGGCUGCUGAGGGACCAAUAUGUGUUGAAUUAUUUUAGUUAGUAUGUGUGCUUUCAAUUUUGGUUAAAUAUGUCCUGCGGUGGCAGAGGAAUUUGGUUUUUUUUGGGUUCGUUUUUUGGCGAAUUUGGCCUCUUAUGAUGUUUGUGCGGUAUACUGUGUGUAAUACAAGGCUGCAGGGAGGCUACUGCAUCCAUUCAUUUGUCUGUUCAGUUGAUGUGUAUGGAUUUGUCCUGCAUUUAUUUUAGUGUGCAGACAUGCAGGGUGUGUUAUAUACAGACCUUUGAAUGUGUAUGUAUCAUUUUGUAUAAUAUGCUUGGAUUCUGUGCUUUCCAUCUUGUAGAGUCACUGUGACUUCAGUUUCGAAAGGAGCUGAUGGUUUACCUGCUUUGUUUUGUCCUUAUUCAAUAAAGGAACAUAAUGUUACACAUUGUGUUUUUAUAUUCAUAUGGAAUGUGUAUUUGUUUAUAUGACAGAGUACUAGGGCCACACUGAAGAAAAAGGAUAAAGUCAUAAAUUUAUGAGGCUGGUUCUUUCUGCAGAAAAGCUACAUAUUGUUUUUACAGUUUUGAUACUUAAUAUUCUGGCACAUCAGCAUGUCUUUGUUUAUGAAACCAUACUGAAGUACAAUUUCACGAAAUGCCCCACAUCUGUCCUCCUUUAAAACAACUGGUUACAAUA
Long non-coding RNA from Oncorhynchus nerka (sockeye salmon), 1248 nucleotides. RefSeq lists it as uncharacterized. The record is from RefSeq and is a predicted model, not a curated record. Lineage: Eukaryota; Metazoa; Chordata; Actinopteri; Salmoniformes; Salmonidae. The transcript has 2 exons.